CGUGCGGUUCCUUCCCAGUUCCCACUUCUCUCACCCAACUGUUCCAGCCGCCUCCCAUCCCCACCUUCGGCCUUCCUGUCCUGUUUCCACCCGCAGCCCGCCUCCUCCACGGUUCCCUCCGGCCUCCCAUCCCCGCCUCCCACCGGCACCGGCGCCUUCUCCGCCUGGACCCCUGGUUCCUCCCUCCGGCAGCAGCAGGCAGCAGCAGCACCGGCGCCUUCUCCGCCUGGUUCCUCCCUCCGGCAGCAGCAGGAAGCAGCAGCACUUUGCCGGCGUCGCUCAGUUCGCCAGGCUCGCCUCUUCCCUCGUUUUUCCCUCCGUCAGCAGCAGCUCCUCCAUUGUUACA
This 346-nucleotide long non-coding RNA is filed under the name Salvia miltiorrhiza (redroot sage). Its description in RNAcentral is "long non-coding RNA (SMIL_LNC002179)". Lineage: Eukaryota; Viridiplantae; Streptophyta; Magnoliopsida; Lamiales; Lamiaceae. The record is from RNAcentral.